GACGAACGCUGGCGGCGUGCCUAAUACAUGCAAGUAGAACGCUGAAGGAGGAGCUUGCUUCUCUGGAUGAGUUGCGAACGGGUGAGUAACGCGUAGGUAACCUGCCUGGUAGCGGGGGAUAACUAUUGGAAACGAUAGCUAAUACCGCAUAAUAGUAGAUGUUGCAUGACAUUUGCUUAAAAGGUGCAAUUGCAUCACUACCAGAUGGACCUGCGUUGUAUUAGCUAGUUGGUGGGGUAACGGCUCACCAAGGCGACGAUACAUAGCCGACCUGAGAGGGUGAUCGGCCACACUGGGACUGAGACACGGCCCAGACUCCUACGGGAGGCAGCAGUAGGGAAUCUUCGGCAAUGGACGGAAGUCUGACCGAGCAACGCCGCGUGAGUGAAGAAGGUUUUCGGAUCGGAAAGCUCUGUUGUAAGAGAAGAACGAGUGUGAGAGUGGAAAGUUCACACUGUGACGGUAUCUUACCAGAAAGGGACGGCUAACUACGUG
This 495-nucleotide ribosomal RNA is filed under the name uncultured bacterium. RNAcentral's name for it is "partial 16S ribosomal RNA". It matches the Rfam family "Bacterial small subunit ribosomal RNA", at positions 28 to 507 of the family's 1533-position model. The record is from RNAcentral.